GCAUUGCUGAGGAAUCCAAGAAUAGGACGAAAUGGCCGUCCAAUGC
This is a non-coding RNA of Schistosoma curassoni, 46 nucleotides long. Lineage: Eukaryota; Metazoa; Platyhelminthes; Trematoda; Strigeidida; Schistosomatidae. The record is from Rfam.